Molecule: non-coding RNA, 23 nt
Filed under: Mus musculus (house mouse)
Lineage: Eukaryota; Metazoa; Chordata; Mammalia; Rodentia; Muridae
Source: RNAcentral
UGUUAUCAGGUGGACAGAAAGGA